UACGGCUAUAUUACGUUAAAACAGUCGUUCCCCUAUGAUCACCGAAGUUAAACCACGUCAAGUCUGGCCAGUACCUAGAUGGGUGACUACUUGGGAAUACCAGGU
Molecule: non-coding RNA, 105 nt
Organism: Acanthosepion pharaonis
Lineage: Eukaryota; Metazoa; Mollusca; Cephalopoda; Sepiida; Sepiidae
Source: the annotation of a GenBank genome assembly